RNAcentral lists this ribosomal RNA (253 nucleotides) under uncultured bacterium. RNAcentral describes it as "partial 16S ribosomal RNA". It matches the Rfam family "Bacterial small subunit ribosomal RNA", at positions 524 to 776 of the family's 1533-position model. The record is from RNAcentral.
UACGUAGGGGGCUAGCGUUGUUCGGAAUUACUGGGCGUAAAGCGGGUGUAGGCGGAUCGCUAAGUCGGGGGUGAAAGCCCAGGGCUCAACCCUGGAAUUGCCUUCGAUACUGGCGGUCUUGAGUUCAGGAGAGGUGAGCUGAAUUCCAUGUGGAGAGGUGAAAUUCGUAGAUAUUCGGAGGACCACCAGAGGCGAAGGCGGCUCACUGGACUGAUACUGACGCUGAGACCCGAAAGCGUGGGGAGCAAACAGG